CACCGGCCCGCUGGAGAACCUGGCCACGCACCUCGCGGACCCGUGGCACAACAACAUCGGCGACAUCGUCAUCCCCAGAAAUAUCUACGGCCCUUGAGCGGAGCCGACCGGGCUGAGGGGAGAUCGAGGAGCCGGAGCACAUGGUUUUCAUUCAUGUUUCUGCGUCGAUCGACUGGUUGAUCAACUUGCCACGCUGGCUCUGCGCGCGUACGUCCGUGCGUGCAGGAACUGUACAACAACGUCAGCUCUCCGGCCGGCAACCUUUGUAAUGUGUAAAGCUUAAGUAGUAGCCGCUGUUGUGAAUGCACCCGUAUGAUCUGUAUAAACUCUUGCAUGAUGAUGGUCUUUUUCUUGAGGAUCAACGCUGCUGCAUUUUUAUUUAACCAGCGAAGCUGGAAAUGUCAUCAGUGAUUACAGAAAGAACAAAGUCAGGGGAGACCCCAAACCACACCUUACAUAA
Molecule: long non-coding RNA, 460 nt
Filed under: Triticum aestivum (bread wheat)
Lineage: Eukaryota; Viridiplantae; Streptophyta; Magnoliopsida; Poales; Poaceae
Description: long non-coding RNA (TAES_LNC016213)
Source: RNAcentral